Molecule: microRNA precursor, 149 nt
Filed under: Oryza brachyantha (malo sina)
Lineage: Eukaryota; Viridiplantae; Streptophyta; Magnoliopsida; Poales; Poaceae
Description: MIR812 microRNA precursor family
Rfam family: MIR812 microRNA precursor family
Source: Rfam by way of RNAcentral
UUUGACUCUUCGUCUUAUUUAAAAAAUUUUUUGCGAUUAAUAUUUUUAUUAUUACUAGAUGAUAAAAUAUGAAUAGUAUUUUAUGCGUAACUAAUUUUUAAAAGUUUUUUACAAAUUUUUCAAAUAAAAUGAAUGGUUGGACACGGAAA